Molecule: unclassified non-coding RNA, 587 nt
Filed under: Hevea brasiliensis (rubber tree)
Lineage: Eukaryota; Viridiplantae; Streptophyta; Magnoliopsida; Malpighiales; Euphorbiaceae
Source: RNAcentral
GUAAACGGCCCAAUAGGGAACACCUUUUUAGCUAAGUUGUUGCCCUGUAUGUUGUUGAUGAUGGAUGCUGUUGCUGCUUCCCUUUGUCUUCUUUUAUUUUUUCUUUUUAAUUUUUUCACCAAUUCUUUGUUUGGAAACUGCUCUCUCUUUCCCCCCUCGCUUCCCCCUCUCUCUCUCUCUCUCUCUCUCUCAUUUCGUAAAUUAACGAUUACUGUCCUCUUUUAAUCUCUCUUUUUCUCUCCUCUUCUACAUUGUAUUCCUCAUCUCAUAUCCUUCCCCUUCAAGGCCUCGUUCUCUCGUUCUCUCUCUCCCUCUCUCUCCUCUUCUUUGCAUUCUUCUCCUACUAGGGUUUUCGUUUCUUUUCAUGCUCCUCUUUUUUCUCUUUCUUUUCUCAAGAAGGAGAUUGUUAGAUCGAUCAGGCUUUUCUGCUCUUAUUUCUUAGAUUUGGUGUAAGUGAGUAUUGCUGCUUGCAUUGGAAUUUCUACGGUGCCUGUGUAUAAUUCAUAAGGUACAUUAUUAGCAGCAGUAAUGCAAGGGCAGAGGAGUAUUAUUGGCUCAUUGCCAGAAAUACUGGACUUUGACCAUGG